RNAcentral lists this ribosomal RNA (564 nucleotides) under Triticum aestivum (bread wheat). Its description in RNAcentral is "partial small subunit ribosomal RNA". The record is from RNAcentral. Lineage: Eukaryota; Viridiplantae; Streptophyta; Magnoliopsida; Poales; Poaceae.
AUGUUGGAAGCUCAAAAGGACACAUCAAAAAAAUGGGGGCCAGUGCAAGUGCAAAGAAGAAGUACCAGAGUUGAUGUAGGAGGGAAAACCAUGUUGGAGAUAGCUGUCAACAAGAAGAAGAUCCAGAACCUGGAGAAGGAGAAGGACACUUAUCAAGAUCCAUUUAACCCUCAAGAGGUGGAUGAUCCUUUUCAAGUACCCACAGCUGGAAAACCUGAAACUCAUCUUGCAGAAGAUAGCAUCGAUACUCACUUCCCCUUUCCUGCUGACUAUGGGGUGACUGAUGGCAUGGACACUGAAGGUGUCCUGAGCCAAGGUUCUCUCACAAAAAUGUCGUUGUGGAUAGGAGGAGUGAGCUCCGGUAAGCUGUCGCAAGGGCACUACUCGCCUCCUAGGAGCCCUGGGAGGAGCUUCAAGACCAUGUCUUCACUCAGUCCCAUCACGCCGCUGGAGCUGCCGCUGUCUUCGAUCCAAGCAAUCAAGCGAAUCAAGAGUGGUGAGUACCACAAAGCAAUGGAGAUGGAAGCGCUGAGGAGCAGCAUUGGGGUGGUGCUGGGGCUUUAG